Molecule: transfer RNA, 75 nt
Filed under: Candidatus Daviesbacteria bacterium
Lineage: Bacteria; Candidatus Daviesiibacteriota
Description: tRNA-Asn
Rfam family: tRNA
About the family: Transfer RNA (tRNA) molecules are approximately 80 nucleotides in length.
Source: RNAcentral
UCCCCUGUAGCUCAACGGUAGAGCGCGCGACUGUUAAUCGCUAGGUUGGAGGUUCAAAUCCUCCCGGGGGAGCCA